GUAGGUGGCAAGCGUUGUCCGGAAUUAUUGGGCGUUAAAGCGCGCGCAGGCGGGGUCCUUUAAGUCUGAUGUGAAAGCCCACGGGCUCAACCGUGGAGGGUCAUUGGAAACUGGGGGACUUGAGUACAGAAGAGGAAAGCGGAAUUCCAAGUGUAGCGGUGAAAUGCGUAGAGAUUUGGAGGAACACCAGUGGCGAAGGCGGCGUUUCUGGUCUGUAACUGACGCUGAGGCGCGAAAGCGUGGGGAGCAAACAGGAUUAGAUACCCUGGUAGUCCACGCCGUAAACGAUGAGUGCUAAGUGUUAGGGGGUUUCCGCCCCUUAGUGCUGCAGCUAACGCAUUAAGCACUCCGCCUGGGGAGUACGGCCGCAAAGGCUG
Molecule: ribosomal RNA, 377 nt
Filed under: uncultured organism
Description: partial 16S ribosomal RNA
Rfam family: Bacterial small subunit ribosomal RNA
Source: RNAcentral